Molecule: ribosomal RNA, 523 nt
Filed under: uncultured Verrucomicrobiae bacterium
Lineage: Bacteria; Pseudomonadati; Verrucomicrobiota; Verrucomicrobiia
Also listed under: 1 other name
Description: bacterial SSU rRNA
Rfam family: Bacterial small subunit ribosomal RNA
Source: RNAcentral
GAGUUUGAUCUUGGCUCAGAACGAACGCUGGCGGCGUGUUUAAGACAUGCAAGUCGCACGGAGCAACUUGAGUAGCAAUACGAUGGUUGCUGAGUGGCGCACGGGUGAGUAACACGUGAAUUACAUGCCCUUCAGAGGGGGAAUAGCCCAGGGAAACUUGGAUUAAUACCCCAUGGUCUCGCAAGAGUAAAGGUGGCCGCAAGGCUGUCGCUGAAGGAUUGGUUCGCGCCCUAUCAGCUUGUUGGCGGGGUAACGGCCCACCAAGGCUACGACGGGUACCUGGUCUGAGAGGACGAUCAGGCACACUGGAACUGAGACACGGUCCAGACACCUACGGGUGGCAGCAGUCGAGAAUAAUUCACAAUGGGGGCAACCCUGAUGGUGCAACGCCGCGUGGAGGAUGACGGUCUUCGGAUUGUAACUCCUGUCAUCCGGGAGUAAGACCUGGCGGUUAACAGCCGACAGGGUUGAUAGUACCGGAAGAGGAAGGGACGGCGUAACUUCGUGCCAGCAGCCGCCGUAA